UUGAUAGGCCGGAACUGGAAGCGCAGCAAUGCGUGCAGGUGACCGGUACUAAUCGGCCGAGGGCUUACACA
RNAcentral lists this ribosomal RNA (71 nucleotides) under Dietzia maris. Its description in RNAcentral is "partial 23S ribosomal RNA". The record is from RNAcentral. Lineage: Bacteria; Bacillati; Actinomycetota; Actinomycetes; Mycobacteriales; Dietziaceae.